GGUGUUGCCCUUAUAUGAAUGAUCCCAAAUGUCUCCCUACCUCCAUGAUCCAGAGCAAAGGCUGGCACAAGGGAGGGAGCGGAAAACGGAGAAAGUCAACUUCUCAGCACCCACAGAGCAAAGUGCUGACCCAGCCAGCGAGGGGCACUGGGACCAGAGCUGACUCCGGAGCAGCUGGCGAUGUGCAGGGCCCAUUCAUCAUGCAGCUUCCUGAGCGGCAGCUAGAGUUAGCAUCCUCAAAUAUGAAAAUAAUUGGUGCUCAGUAAUAAAGGCUGUGAGUACAUGUGGGCAAGAGAACGAGAUUUCGCUGGAAUGACAGAUGGAGUCAUGGUCCCAGGAAGCAGGUAAGGAUUUGGACGUUGAUCCUGCAUAGCCCAACCGUUGCUGUGGAGGGGAGAGCGGCACGCGAAACCAGUACCAGGGGCCCC
Molecule: long non-coding RNA, 428 nt
Organism: Lagenorhynchus albirostris (white-beaked dolphin)
Lineage: Eukaryota; Metazoa; Chordata; Mammalia; Artiodactyla; Delphinidae
Exons: 3
Source: RefSeq, a predicted model, not a curated record